AGGACGAACGCUGGCGGCGUGCCUAACACAUGCAAGUCGAACGAGGUUGAUCUGGUGGCAACACCAGUGACUACCUAGUGGCGAACGGGUGAGUAACACGUGAGGAACCUGCCCCGAAGACCGGGAUAACCCUCCGAAAGGAGAGCUAAUACCGGAUACCCCCACUGAUCGCAUGAUCGGAUGAGGAAAUGGAUUCCGCUUCGGGAGGGCCUCGCGGCCUAUCAGCUAGGUUGGUGGGUAACGGCCCACCAAGGCAUCGACGGGUAGCUGGUCUGAGAGGACGAUCAGCCACACUGGGACUGAGACACGGCCCAGACUCCGUACGGGAGCAGCAGUGGGAAUCUGCGCAAGUGGGCGAAAGCCUAGACGCGAGCAACGCCGCGGUGGGGAUGGAAGGCUCGUCGGUUACGUAACCC
Molecule: ribosomal RNA, 416 nt
Filed under: uncultured soil bacterium
Lineage: Bacteria
Description: bacterial SSU rRNA
Rfam family: Bacterial small subunit ribosomal RNA
Source: RNAcentral